RNAcentral lists this ribosomal RNA (498 nucleotides) under uncultured bacterium. RNAcentral's name for it is "partial 16S ribosomal RNA". It matches the Rfam family "Bacterial small subunit ribosomal RNA", at positions 30 to 523 of the family's 1533-position model. The record is from RNAcentral.
AUUGAACGCUGGCGGCGUGCCUUACACAUGCAAGUCGAACGGUAACAGGUCUUCGGAUGCUGACGAGUGGCGAACGGGUGAGUAAUACAUCGGAACGUGCCUAGUAGUGGGGGAUAACUACUCGAAAGAGUGGCUAAUACCGCAUGAGAUCUACGGAUGAAAGCAGGGGAUCGCAAGACCUUGUGCUACUAGAGCGGCCGAUGGCAGAUUAGGUAGUUGGUGGGAUAAAAGCUUACCAAGCCGACGAUCUGUAGCUGGUCUGAGAGGACGAUCAGCCACACUGGGACUGAGACACGGCCCAGACUCCUACGGGAGGCAGCAGUGGGGAAUUUUGGACAACGGGCGAAAGCCUGAUCCAGCAAUGCCGCGUGCAGGAUGAAGGCCUUCGGGUUGUAAACUGCUUUUGUACGGAACGAAAAGCCCCGGGUUAAUACCCUGGGGUCAUGACGGUACCGUAAGAAUAAGCACCGGCUAACUACGUGCCAGCCGCCGCCGUAA